This is a non-coding RNA of Zonotrichia albicollis (white-throated sparrow), 956 nucleotides long. Lineage: Eukaryota; Metazoa; Chordata; Aves; Passeriformes; Passerellidae. The record is from RefSeq and is a predicted model, not a curated record.
AAAGGGCUUGUUAUAGAAGAAAGCUCUUCAGAAAAAUAACAGCGCUUUCUUUUUUGCAACAACUGCUUGGAGCAAAAGGGCAGCAAACUGAAACUGCGAUUCGGCCUCCAAAACUGCAGAGAACAAUUUCUCACAGCCCGCAGCUGCCAAUGCCCAGAACUCUGGCUGCCCUCGGAGUGCCACGUGCCUCCUGCGGAUGGACGUCGACACGCAGCAGGGGUGAGUUUGGUUUUACAGGGAAGAGGGCGAGCACAGGAUUUCUCCAGGAGCAAAGCUGCCCCCACCGAGAACUCGGGCUGCCCUGGCAGUGCCAAGCAUCACCUGCAGACUGGCAUCAGGAAACUCAGGGGGUACUGCCGAAGCAACAAUCAGAAUCACAGAAAGAGGGUGAAUUCAUGCCAGCAGAAUCAAAGGACUUGUGAAGAAACCUGAGGAAUGGACUAUCACAUUGAAACCGGGCAAUACCAAACUGACUUUCCAAUGAGGACUGAGUGGUAAUAGUUUGGAAAAAGCCAAAUGAUCCAAGAAAUGUACAAAGAAUAACACUGAAUUAAGAAAUAAGAUAACGCUUAGAUCACUGGUUUCAAGCACUGCCUGUAUAAAACAUCUCCUUCAGGGAGGAAUACUUCAGACAAAAAGAUCAAGACUGUUUUUGUAUUCUGACCUUAGCCUGAGAAUUGCACAGGGGAAAAGGGGAAUUACCAUUUCCAUCAGUAAACUUUAUUUGAUUCAUUCCAAUACUGGACAUGCUAGCUGGGUCAUAAGUAAAUGCUUGAAUUGUGAGAAUAAUUAGUAUUGUAGUUCACAAAAUUCAUGCUCUUAUUGCAAAAAGUGGUAAAGUAAUAACUUAGCUUUGUGGAUGGGAAUUAUUAGUGCCUGUUGAAUGAGAGAUACCUGAGGAACAGUAAGAGACCACAGUUAAGAGUGUCAAAACCAAUUUGCCUGGAAAUUAGUUA